CCUGAGUACCUGCAGUAUUCUAUUAUGAAUUUGGCAUGAAAGAGCCGAAAGAAGGGAAUGGCAUCAAACAGAUGCACACAAAGAGAGAAGUCUGCUCAGGAAACCAAAUGAAGAUCAAGCAGACGGAGAAAGAGCCUUUGAUAAGCAUUCAUCAAACUCCAAUCAAGAAGGCUGUGACUUGAACCCAACCUCAUGUAACCCUUUAGUCUCCAUGACUACAAAAGAACCAAGAUCAGGUCUCAGAAGAGACCAGUUAAUGCCUCUCACUAUUUGA
Molecule: non-coding RNA, 274 nt
Organism: Odocoileus virginianus texanus
Lineage: Eukaryota; Metazoa; Chordata; Mammalia; Artiodactyla; Cervidae
Source: RefSeq, a predicted model, not a curated record